Long non-coding RNA from Amphibalanus amphitrite, 495 nucleotides. RefSeq lists it as uncharacterized. The record is from RefSeq and is a predicted model, not a curated record. NCBI's taxonomy places the organism in Eukaryota, Metazoa, Arthropoda, Thecostraca, Balanomorpha, Balanidae. The transcript is spliced from 2 exons.
CUAUAAUAUUGACAUGUAAAUGUCCUGCCAUACCUUUCAAUUUGGGCAAAACAGCGCAGCGCAGAAGAACCGGCAGACGCCGAUGUCCGGCCCGCGCUUCAAGAACUGACAGACGGCAGAUGCUGAUGUCACGAUGUGCCACCGGGGCAGCGCAGUAAACCCGACGGACGCCGACGUCCAGUCCGCGCAGUGUAACGCAUAAGAACUGACAGACGUCGGUGUCCCGUCCGCUCAGAGCAGUGCAGAGGACCCGACAGUCGCCAGUGUCCCACUCCCGUCCACGCAUUGUAGCACAAAAGAGCGGCAAGGUGGCAUGACAACAACCAGUCACCGCGUCUAAAUCAAGCUUGGCAUGAAAAGCGCAUUUACGACUGCGUCUCGCCAGAUAUCCUUCUGCAAUCCGGCGCCAGUCCGGACAGAUGAGUAGUGCGUACAUCAUUGUCAUCGUUCGAUUACUGCGUUUUUACAUAAUAAAUUAUUUUUUCCGUCACGCUC